RNAcentral lists this ribosomal RNA (420 nucleotides) under uncultured bacterium. Its description in RNAcentral is "bacterial SSU rRNA". It matches the Rfam family "Bacterial small subunit ribosomal RNA", at positions 355 to 774 of the family's 1533-position model. The record is from RNAcentral.
UAAGGAAUAUUGCUCAAUGGGAGAAAUCCUGAAGCAGCAACGCCGCGUGGAGGACGAAGGGUCUAUGACUUGUAGACUCCUGUAAAGAAGGAAAAAAUUCCCAUUUGAUGGGAGAUGAUGGUACUUCUGGAGUAAGCCCCGGCUAACUACGUGCCAGCAGCCGCGGUAAUACGUAGGGGGCAAGCGUUGUCCGGAUUUACUGGGUGUAAAGGGUGCUCAGGCGGAUUUGUAAGUCAGAGGUGAAAUCUUACAGCUUAACUGUGAAACUGCCUUUGAUACUGCAAGCCUAGAGUAUGGAAGAGAGUGAUGGAAUAUCUGGUGUAGCAGUGAAAUGCGUAGAUAUCAGAUAGAACACCAAUGGCGAAGGCAGUCACUUGGUCCAUUACUGACGCUAAAGCACGAAAGCGUGGGUAGCAAACA